AGUGAACGCUGGCGGCAGGCCUAACACAUGCAAGUCGAGCGGCAGCGCGGGGGCAACCCUGGCGGCGAGCGGCGGACGGGUGAGGAAUUCGUCGGAAUCUGCCUUUUUGUGUGGGAUAACGUAGGGAAACUUACGCUAAUACCGCAUACGUCCUACGGGAGAAAGUGGGGGACCGCAAGGCCUCACGCAGAAAGAUGAGCCGACGACCGAUUAGCUAGUUGGUGGGGUAAAGGCCCACCAAGGCGACGAUCGGUAGCUGGUCUGAGAGGAUGAUCAGCCACACUGGGACUGAGACACGGCCCAGACUCCUACGGGAGGCAGCAGUGGGGAAUAUUGGACAAUGGGCGCAAGCCUGAUCCAGCCAUGCCGCGUGUGUGAAGAAGGCCUUCGGGUUGUAAAGCACUUUUGUCCGGAAAGAAAUCCCUGGAGCUAAUACCUUCGGGGGAUGACGGUACCGGAAGAAUAAGCACCGGCUAACUUCGUG
Molecule: ribosomal RNA, 484 nt
Filed under: uncultured bacterium
Lineage: Bacteria
Description: partial 16S ribosomal RNA
Rfam family: Bacterial small subunit ribosomal RNA
Source: RNAcentral